UCUUUGCUCCUCUCUCUCCUUCGGCACGGGGACAAAAUCAGAUCCCUCCCACCCGGGAUUACAAUAUCUUUCUUUGCUGCUGCUUCUUCAACCUUCCGCUGCUGCUGCUUCUUCUCGGGUCCAAAAAAUAAAUGGUAAACAAACAAAGCGGGCACCAACCACCAACAACUGUUAUACCAGCGUAUGAUAAUGCGGAGGAGGGCCUCCCGCAGAAAUUUUCUUGGUGUUCUUUAUUGUUGCUGCUGUUAGCGGGGGGAUGGGAUGGGAUGGGAUGGGAUGGAUAAUUGGGUGGUGGGGUGGGGGCGUUCGGGGGCGGGUUUAGGCUUUAAUCCAAACCGGAGGGAGCUGUUGGGGAGGCAUUUGGUUUGUUUGGCGGUGCGUCCACCCCCACCACCACCACGGCCACCACGGCCUCCUUCCGGUUGCUUCUUC
RNAcentral lists this ribosomal RNA (432 nucleotides) under Triticum aestivum (bread wheat). Its description in RNAcentral is "partial small subunit ribosomal RNA". Lineage: Eukaryota; Viridiplantae; Streptophyta; Magnoliopsida; Poales; Poaceae. The record is from RNAcentral.